UACAGAGGGGGCAAGCGUUAUUCGGAAUUAUUGGGCGUAAAGGGUGCGUAGGCGGCGCGGUAAGUCGGAUGUGAAAUCUCGGAGCUUAACUCCGAAACUGCAUUCGAUACUGCCGUGCUUGAGGACUGGAGAGGAGACUGGAAUUUACGGUGUAGCGGUGAAAUGCGUAGAUAUCGUAAGGAAGACCAGUGGCGAAGGCGGGUCUCUGGACAGUUCCUGACGCUGAGGCACGAAGGCCAGGGGAGCAAACGGG
This 253-nucleotide ribosomal RNA is filed under the name uncultured bacterium. RNAcentral's name for it is "partial 16S ribosomal RNA". It matches the Rfam family "Bacterial small subunit ribosomal RNA", at positions 524 to 776 of the family's 1533-position model. The record is from RNAcentral.